AGGCUGCUGCAGUCUUUUUUUUUUUUUAGGUUUAGAUUUGGUUUAGUGUAACCCGGGUUAGAGAAAUUGUAGUGGUCUGAGUUUAUGUUAUAAUUUCUGGUUAGUUUUGUAAACCAGGAUUAAUUUGUAAACCAAUUUUAAUAUAUAAAUAAAAUUUAUUUUAAUUUCAAUAUAAAACAAUUUUCAAUUUAAUAUUAAAUUAUUCUAU
This 208-nucleotide long non-coding RNA is filed under the name Brassica napus (rape). RNAcentral's name for it is "long non-coding RNA (BNAP_LNC026768)". The record is from RNAcentral. Lineage: Eukaryota; Viridiplantae; Streptophyta; Magnoliopsida; Brassicales; Brassicaceae.